This 99-nucleotide non-coding RNA is filed under the name Candidatus Neoanaerotignum tabaqchaliae. RNAcentral describes it as "SAM riboswitch (S box leader)". It matches the Rfam family "SAM riboswitch aptamer (S box leader)". Rfam says of the family: The SAM riboswitch is found upstream of a number of genes which code for proteins involved in methionine or cysteine biosynthesis in Gram-positive bacteria. The record is from RNAcentral. Lineage: Bacteria; Bacillati; Bacillota; Clostridia.
GCUUAUCAAGAGUGGUCGAGGGACAGGGCCCUGUGACACCCGGCAACCGGCUUUUUGUACGGUGCUAAUUCCCACGUAUUUUAAAAUGCGUAAGAUGAG